AAUGAACGCUGGCGGCGUGCCUAACACAUGCAAGUCGGAUGUGCCGCAAGGUGCAUGGCAGACGGGUGAGUAACGCGUGGGGAACCUACCUCUUUGUGGGGAAUAACGUUCCGAAAGGAAUGGUAAUACCGCAUGAGACCACAGGCUGGGAUGUUUGGGGUGAAACCCGGGGACCGAAAAGCCUGGGGCAAGGAGAGGGUCCUGCGUCUGAUUAGCUAGUUGGCGGGGUAACGGCCCACCAAGGCGUCGAUCAGUAGCCGGCCUGAGAGGGUGAUCGGCCACACUGGAACUGAGACACGGUCCAGACUCCUACGGGAGGCAGCAGUGGGGAAUUUUGCGCAAUGGGCGAAAGCCUGACGCAGCAACGCCGCGUGGGUGAUGAAGGUCUUCGGAUCGUAAAACCCUGUCGUCAGGGACGAAGGUUGCAUGUCUAAUAGAUGUGCAACUUGACGGUACCUGGAGAGGAAGCCCCGGCUAACUCUGUGCCAGCCGCCGCAGUAA
This 501-nucleotide ribosomal RNA is filed under the name uncultured bacterium. RNAcentral's name for it is "partial 16S ribosomal RNA". It matches the Rfam family "Bacterial small subunit ribosomal RNA", at positions 29 to 523 of the family's 1533-position model. The record is from RNAcentral.